This 591-nucleotide unclassified non-coding RNA is filed under the name Penicillium digitatum. RNAcentral describes it as "sequence contains 18S rRNA gene, ITS1, 5.8S rRNA gene, ITS2, 28S rRNA gene". The stretch from base 219 to 371 matches the Rfam family "5.8S ribosomal RNA". The record is from RNAcentral. Lineage: Eukaryota; Fungi; Ascomycota; Eurotiomycetes; Eurotiales; Aspergillaceae.
UCGUAACAAGGUUUCCGUAGGUGAACCUGCGGAAGGAUCAUUACCGAGUGAGGGCCCUCUGGGUCCAACCUCCCACCCGUGUUUAUUUUACCUUGUUGCUUCGGCGGGCCCGCCUUUACUGGCCGCCGGGGGGCUCACGCUCCCGGGCCCGCGCCCGCCGAAGACACCCCCGAACUCUGUCUGAAGAUUGCAGUCUGAGUGAAAACGAAAUUAUUUAAAACUUUCAACAACGGAUCUCUUGGUUCCGGCAUCGAUGAAGAACGCAGCGAAAUGCGAUACGUAAUGUGAAUUGCAAAUUCAGUGAAUCAUCGAGUCUUUGAACGCACAUUGCGCCCCCUGGUAUUCCGGGGGGCAUGCCUGUCCGAGCGUCAUUGCUGCCCUCAAGCCCGGCUUGUGUGUUGGGCCCCGUCCCCCGAUCCCGGGGGACGGGCCCGAAAGGCAGCGGCGGCACCGCGUCCGGUCCUCGAGCGUAUGGGGCUUUGUCACCCGCUCCGUAGGCCCGGCCGGCGCCUGCCGAUCAACCCCAAAUUUUUAAUCCAGGUUGACCUCGGAUCAGGUAGGGAUACCCGCUGAACUUAAGCAUAUCAAUAA